UGAGCAAUCUGCCCUUCUCAUCGGAAUAAGCGUUGGAAACCGCGUCUAAUGCCGAAUACGACCUCCUUUCGCAUGAUCGGAGGUGGAAAGCUCCGGCGGAGAAGGAUGAGCUCGCGGCCUAUCAGCUAGUUGGUGUGGGUAAUGGCCCACCAAGGCGACGACGGGUAGCCGGCCUGAGAGGGUGACCGGCCACACUGGGACUGAGACACGGCCCAGACUCCGUACGGGAGCAG
Molecule: ribosomal RNA, 233 nt
Filed under: uncultured bacterium
Lineage: Bacteria
Description: partial 16S ribosomal RNA
Rfam family: Bacterial small subunit ribosomal RNA
Source: RNAcentral